Molecule: non-coding RNA, 447 nt
Organism: Myotis davidii
Lineage: Eukaryota; Metazoa; Chordata; Mammalia; Chiroptera; Vespertilionidae
Source: the annotation of a RefSeq genome assembly
UCCCCAGGUGUUCCCAUUCCCUGUCCAGGACUCAACACAGACCACUCACCAUGGAGUUUGGGCUCAGCUGGGUUUUCUUUGUUGCUAUUUUAAGAGGUGUCCAGUGUGAGGUGCAGCUGAUGGAGUCUGGGAGAGGCUUGGUGCAGCCUGGGGGGUCUCUGAGGCUCUCCUGUGCAGCCUCUGGAUUCACUUUCAGUAGCAACGGCAUGAACUGGGUCCGCCAGGCUCCAGGGAAGGGGCUGGAGUGGGUGGCAGUUAUAUGGAAUGAUGGAAGUCAGAAAUACUAUGCAGACUCUGUGAAGGGACGAUUCACCAUCUCCAGAGACAACGCCAAGAACACGCUGUAUCUUCAAAUGAGCAAUCUGAGAGCUGAGGACAUGGCCAUAUAUUACUGUGCAAGAUACACAGUGAAGAGAAGUCAGUGUGAGCCCAGACACAAACGUCCCG